RNAcentral lists this long non-coding RNA (644 nucleotides) under Fragaria vesca (wild strawberry). Its description in RNAcentral is "long non-coding RNA (FVES_LNC001023)". Lineage: Eukaryota; Viridiplantae; Streptophyta; Magnoliopsida; Rosales; Rosaceae. The record is from RNAcentral.
AUGAAGCCAAAAUAGAGAAAGUAAUCAUACGCAGACUCGUUGCGGUCCAGAAUAGGAACUAGACUAGAACAGGGACAAGCGUGGCCCGUGUAUCACUAUUGUACCGAUAUUGUCCCAACUUAACUACUUUUAAGGUGUUGGGUUUUAACCAUAAAAGGCCUCGGUACAAUUAAGUGUGAUCUAUCCACUUAUAAGUUGUAUUUUAUUUGUCCCUUUUCUGAUGUGGGAUCUUUCCUCUCCAACACUCCCCCUCAUGUGCAACCUAAUUUUUAGGUCUGCACAUGGAAUUCAUUCAGUCCAAUUCCCACAUCGGAAAUCGGUAAUGCUUAAGUCCAAGGCCCACUGCAGGCACUUAGUAUGGUAUGGGCCAAUCGGAAUUUUUCCGAUGGCAAUUCGAUGAACCCAAAUCUGGGCUCAUUAUGCUGGGAGAUUUUCUCCCGUUACGCUGGGAGACGUAAUUGAAGAGGGACCCGCUCUGAUACCAACUAGAACAGGGAAAGAGUGGCCCGUGGAUCACUAUUGUACCGAUAUUGUCCCAACUUAACCACCUUUAAGGUGUUAGGUUUUAACCACAAAAGGCCUCGGUACAAUUAAGUGUGAUCCAUCCACUUAUAAGUUGUAUUUUAUUUGUCCUUUUUCUGAUG